GGUCAAGCUACAAAGGGCGCAUGGUGAAUGCCUUGGCAUCAGGAGCCGAUGAAGGACGUGAUAAGCUGCGAUAAGCUUCGGGUAGGCGCACAUAGCCUGAGAUCCGAAGAUCUCCGAAUGAGGAAACUCACAUGGGAAACCCCAUGUAUCAUUAAGUGAAUACAUAGCUUAAUGAAGGUAACCCAGGGAACUGAAACAUCUAAGUACCUGGAGGAAGAGAAAGAAAAAUCGAUUUUCUUAGUAGCGGCGAGCGAAAGGGAAAGAGCCCAAACCGGAAACUUGUUUCCGGGGUUGUGGACAUGACAUAAAAGUGGAGGCUAUUGUAACUGAAGAGAACUGGAAAGUUCCACCGUAGAAGGUAAUAGUCCUGUAAGUGAAACGAGAAGACCACGAGUUAUGAUCCAGAGUACCACGAGACACGUGAAACCUUGUGGGAAGCAGGGAGGACCACCUCCCAAGGCUAAAUACUACCUGAUGACCGAUAGUGAAGCAGUACCGUGAGGGAAAGGUGAAAAGAACCCCGGGAGGGGAGUGAAAUAGAACCUGAAACCGUGUGCCUACAACCGCUCAGAGCCCCUUAUGAGGGUGAUGAGGUGCUUUUUGUAGAACGAGCCAACGAGUUACGGUAUGUAGCAAGGUUAAGUACUUAAGGUACGGAGCCGAAGGGAAACCGAGUCUGAAUAGGGCGACUAGUUGCAUGCCGUAGACCCGAAACCGGGUGACCUAUCCAUGGCCAGGUUGAAGCGAGGGUAAAACCUCGUGGAGGACCGAACACGUUGCUGUUGAAAAAGCAUGGGAUGAGCUGUGGAUAGCGGAGAAAUUCCAAUCGAACCCGGAGAUAGCUGGUUCUCUCCGAAAUAGCUUUAGGGCUAGCGUCGAGUAUGAGUAGUGGAGGUAGAGCACUGAAUGGGCUAGGGGGCAUAGCGCUUACCGAACCUUAUCAAACUCCGAAUGCCACAUACUUUGAGCUCGGCAGUCAGACUACGAAUGAUAAGAUCCGUGGUCAAAAGGGAAACAGCCCAGAUCGUCAGCUAAGGUCCCAAAGUGUAAGUUAAGUGGGAAAGGAUGUGAGAUUUCUAAGACAACUAGGAUGUUGGCUUAGAAGCAGCCAUUCAUUAAAAGAGUGCGUAAUAGCUCACUAGUCGAGAGAUCUUGCGCCGAAAAUGUAACGGGGCUAAACUUACCACCGAAGCUACGGGCUUGAACUUAGUUCAAGCGGUAGGAGAGCGUCGUAACCGGGCUGAAGUCGUACCGUAAGGAGCGGUGGACUGGUUACGAGUGAGAAUGUUGGCAUCAGUAGCGAGAUGUGGGUGAGAAUCCCACAGGCCGAAAACCUAAGGUUUCCUCAGGAAGGUUCGUCCGCUGAGGGUUAGUCGGGACCUAAGCCGAGGCCGAAAGGCGUAGGUGAUGGACAACUGGUUGAUAUUCCAGUACCACUACCAUCGUUAUUAUCGAUGGCGUGACGCAGGAGGAUAGUGUGUGCUAGCUAUUGGAUGCUAGUCUAAGCGUUUAGGCAGUGAGAGUAGGCAAAUCCGCUCUCAUAAUGCUGAGGCGUGAUGGGGAAGGUUCUACGGAACCGAAGUACAUGAUUCCACGCUGCCAAGAAAAGCGUCUAGAGAGAGAAGUAGUGCCCGUACCGCAAACCGACACAGGUAGGUGAGGAGAGAAUCCUAAGGCCGGCGGAAGAAUUACAGUUAAGGAACUCGGCAAAUUGACCCCGUAAGUUCGCGAGAAGGGGUGCCUACGAGAGUAGGCCGCAGAGAAUAGGCCCAAGCAACUGUUUAGCAAAAACACAGGUCUCUGCUAAAGCGUAAGCUGAUGUAUAGGGGCUGACGCCUGCCCGGUGCUGGAAGGUUAAGGGGAACACUUAGCGCAAGCGAAGGUGUGAACUUAAGCCCCAGUAAACGGCGGCCGUAACUAUAACGGUCCUAAGGUAGCGAAAUUCCUUGUCAGGUAAGUUCUGACCCGCACGAAUGGCGUAAUGACUUGGGCACUGUCUCAACUGUAAAUCCGGCGAAGUUGUAGUGCGAGUGAAGAUGCUCGCUACCCGCGAUUGGACGGAAAGACCCCGUAGAGCUUUACUGUAGCUUAGCAUUGAGUUUUGGUAUUGUCUGUACAGGAUAGGUGGGAGACUAGGAAACCAGGGCGUCAGCCUUGGUGGAGUCAACCUUGGGAUACCACCCUGACAGUACUGAAAUUCUAACUGGCGGCCAUGAAUCUGGUCACAGGACAUUGUUAGGUGGGCAGUUUCCUGGGGCGGUCGCCUCCUAAAAAGUAACGGAGGCGCCCAAAGGUUCCCUCAGAACGGUCGGAAAUCGUUCGAAGAGUGCAAAGGCAGAAGGGAGCCUGACUGCGACACCCACAAGUGGAGCAGGGACGAAAGUCGGGCUUAGUGAUCCGGUGGUACCUCGUGGGAGGGCCAUCGCUCAACGGAUAAAAGCUACCUCGGGGAUAACAGGCUGAUCUCCCCCAAGAGUCCACAUCGACGGGGAGGUUUGGCACCUCGAUGUCGGCUCGUCGCAUCCUGGGGCUGAAGUAGGUCCCAAGGGUUGGGCUGUUCGCCCAUUAAAGCGGCACGCGAGCUGGGUUCAGAACGUCGUGAGACAGUUCGGUCCCUAUCCGUCGCGGGCGUAGGAAAUUUGAGAGGAGCUGUCCUUAGUACGAGAGGACCGGGAUGGACUGACCUCUGGUGUACCAGUUGUUCCGCCAGGAGCACAGCUGGGUAGCUAAGUCGGGAAUGGAUAAACGCUGAAAGCAUCUAAGCGUGAAGCCACCUCAGAUGAGAUUUCCCAUAGCGUAAGCUAGUAAGAUCCCUUGAAGAACACAAGGUUGAUAGGUCGGGGGUGUAAGCAUGGUAACAUGUUCAGCUGACCGAUACUAAUAGAUCGAGGGCUUGACCAA
RNAcentral lists this ribosomal RNA (2901 nucleotides) under Clostridium perfringens E str. JGS1987. RNAcentral describes it as "bacterial LSU rRNA". It matches the Rfam family "Bacterial large subunit ribosomal RNA". The record is from RNAcentral. Lineage: Bacteria; Bacillati; Bacillota; Clostridia; Eubacteriales; Clostridiaceae.